This 577-nucleotide ribosomal RNA is filed under the name Colletotrichum sp. ITCC 6153. Its description in RNAcentral is "eukaryotic LSU rRNA". The stretch from base 215 to 368 matches the Rfam family "5.8S ribosomal RNA". The record is from RNAcentral. Lineage: Eukaryota; Fungi; Ascomycota; Sordariomycetes; Glomerellales; Glomerellaceae.
CGUAACAAGGUCUCCGUUGGUGAACCAGCGGAGGGAUCAUUACUGAGUUUACGCUCUACAACCCUUUGUGAACAUACCUAUAACUGUUGCUUCGGCGGGUAGGGUCUCCGCGACCCUCCCGGCCUCCCGCCUCCGGGCGGGUCGGCGCCCGCCGGAGGAUAACCAAACUCUGAUUUAACGACGUUUCUUCUGAGUGGUACAAGCAAAUAAUCAAAACUUUUAACAACGGAUCUCUUGGUUCUGGCAUCGAUGAAGAACGCAGCGAAAUGCGAUAAGUAAUGUGAAUUGCAGAAUUCAGUGAAUCAUCGAAUCUUUGAACGCACAUUGCGCCCGCCAGCAUUCUGGCGGGCAUGCCUGUUCGAGCGUCAUUUCAACCCUCAAGCUCUGCUUGGUGUUGGGGCCCUACAGCUGAUGUAGGCCCUCAAAGGUAGUGGCGGACCCUCUCGGAGCCUCCUUUGCGUAGUAACUUUACGUCUCGCACUGGGAUCCGGAGGGACUCUUGCCGUAAAACCCCCAAUUUUCCAAAGGUUGACCUCGGNUCAGGUAGGAAUACCCGCUGAACUUAAGCAUAUCAAUA